Molecule: transfer RNA, 72 nt
Filed under: Bos taurus (domestic cattle)
Lineage: Eukaryota; Metazoa; Chordata; Mammalia; Artiodactyla; Bovidae
Also listed under: 5 other names
Rfam family: tRNA
About the family: Transfer RNA (tRNA) molecules are approximately 80 nucleotides in length. Their secondary structure includes four short double-helical elements and three loops (D, anti-codon, and T loops).
Source: Rfam by way of RNAcentral
UCCCUGGUGGCUAGGUGGUAAAGAAUCCGCCUGCAAUGCAGGAGACCCCGGGUUCAAUCCCUGGGUGGGGAA